Molecule: ribosomal RNA, 414 nt
Filed under: uncultured bacterium
Lineage: Bacteria
Description: bacterial SSU rRNA
Rfam family: Bacterial small subunit ribosomal RNA
Source: RNAcentral
UAAGGAAUAUUGGUCAAUGGACGCAAGUCUGAACCAGCCAUGCCGCGUGAAGGAUGAAGGUCCUCUGGAUUGUAAACUUCUUUUAUCUGGGACGAAAACGGGAUUUUUAUCUCAAUUGACGGUACCAGAGGAAUAAGCACCGGCUAACUCCGUGCCAGCAGCCGCGGUAAUACGGAGGGUGCGAGCGUUAUCCGGAUUUACUGGGUUUAAAGGGUGCGUAGGUGGGCUUAUAAGUCAGUGGUGAAAUCUCCGAGCUUAACUUGGAAACUGCCGGUGAUACUAUAGGUCUUGAAUUAUCUGGAGGUAAGCGGAAUAUGUCAUGUAGCGGUGAAAUGCUUAGAUAUGACAUAGAACACCAAUUGCGAAGGCAGCUUACUACAUAUAAAUUGACGCUGAGGCACGAAAGCGUGGGGA